GAGAGUGGGUAGUCCGCACGAGCGCACCUUACUUUUAGUUGCCACCAUUUAGUUGAGCACUCUGAAAGAACUGCCAGUGAUAAGCUGGAGGAAGGUGGGGAUGACGUCAAGUCCUCAUGGCCCUUACGUGUUGGGCUACACACGUGCUACAAUGGCACUUACAAUAGGAAGCAAAGAGGCGACUCCAAGCAAAUCCUAAAAAAGUGCCUCAGUUCGGAUUGUACUCUGCAACUCGAGUACAUGAAGCUGGAAUUGCUAGUAAUCGCGGAUCAGCGCGCCGCGGUGAAUACGUUCCCGGGUCUUGUACACACCGCCCGUCACACCAUGGAAGUUGGUUCUACCUUAAGGCAAAGCAUAAAACCUUUGACCACGGUAUAGUCAGCGACUGGGGUGAAGUCGUAACAAGGUAGCCGUAGGGGAACCUGCGGCUGGAUUACCUCCUUUCU
This 446-nucleotide ribosomal RNA is filed under the name uncultured Pelagibacterales bacterium. Its description in RNAcentral is "bacterial SSU rRNA". It matches the Rfam family "Bacterial small subunit ribosomal RNA", at positions 1072 to 1533 of the family's 1533-position model. Lineage: Bacteria; Pseudomonadati; Pseudomonadota; Alphaproteobacteria; Candidatus Pelagibacterales. The record is from RNAcentral.